RNAcentral lists this unclassified non-coding RNA (720 nucleotides) under Hevea brasiliensis (rubber tree). The record is from RNAcentral. Lineage: Eukaryota; Viridiplantae; Streptophyta; Magnoliopsida; Malpighiales; Euphorbiaceae.
UUUUUUUCCUUGCAACAAGUGCAUUUACAAAGGUCCCUUGGGCAUCUAAACUGAAGAAAUACAAAAGCUUCACAGGGGAACAGAAAGCCGGCCAAAAUGAAGAUUUCCUUUAGCAAAGAGUUUUGCCACAAGUCUGCUGCAUUGUUGGCUGACCUUCGAACUUGAGACAGCGAAACAAGGGAAUUUAUUUGGUGAAACUGGCUUUGAUAUCCCAACUGCUACCCCUCCCUCUAUUUUUGAUGGCAUCAUAUACUGCAGCUGAGUCCAUUUCUAUCACAGCUUCCACAGCUUCCACAGCUUCCAUGCCCCUAAACAACUUUAAAACUUCCAAAACACGUUUAGCUUCGGCAUUCAAAGGAGACUGGUCCCAACUCUUUUAGCCAAAUCAUUGAUCAAAGCACCAGAACAGUCUCUAAAUACUAUAUGAGCUAUAGCUUCAUCUUCCUUCCAGGCAGCAUCACAAUUGAAUUUUAAACUCCCUUUGUGAGAGGUCGAGACCACUUAUUUGGGAUAGCAAUAUUACUAGGCACAACAAUAUUCUCAUUACUGCCCCUCCAAGCCUGAGAUUGCUCAAAACAGAGGUUUGGUAUUGAUGAAGAGUAACUUUAUCAUUUUAUGGGUUGUUUCAAAUUUGAAGCAUUGGUUUUGAUGCUUGUAUUGUCACUUUUCGAAAAGUUUUUUAGCUUGUAAGUUGAUGUAAAGGACUUGCUUUUGUUUGUG